Molecule: ribosomal RNA, 262 nt
Filed under: uncultured bacterium
Lineage: Bacteria
Description: partial 16S ribosomal RNA
Rfam family: Bacterial small subunit ribosomal RNA
Source: RNAcentral
GUCCACGCCGUAAACUAUGAGAACUAGCUGCAGGGGGCGCGAGCCUUAUGUAGCGCAGCUAACGCGAUAAGUUCUCCGCCUGGGGAUUACGGCCGCAAGGCUAAAACUCAAAGGAAUUGACGGGGGCCCGCACAAGCGGUGGAGCAUGUGGUUUAAUUCGAUGCAACGCGAAGAACCUUACCUACCCUUGACAUCCUUGGAAUCUUUCAGAGAUGAGAGAGUGCCUUCGGGAACCAAGUGACAGGUGCUGCAUGGCUGUCGU